AAGAUCGUGCUUCAUAUGAUCAUUUCUAUAGUGCGAUCGCCGAGACGCAUCCGCGAUCUCGGAACACUUUCGACCACGAUGAUGCGUCGUGGGUCUCCGCUUGAGCGUGAAGCUGGCUCGGUAACCGGGGCUUACUCUGUACCGAAGCUUUGAUGACCGCCCUCGGGCAUUAUUGGUGCCUGAGGAUGGCGGAGACCCAGUCUGAGUGGC
This 210-nucleotide small nucleolar RNA is filed under the name Rhipicephalus microplus (southern cattle tick). Its description in RNAcentral is "small nucleolar RNA U3". It matches the Rfam family "Small nucleolar RNA U3". Rfam says of the family: Small nucleolar RNAs (snoRNAs) are involved in the processing and modification of rRNA in the nucleolus. There are two main classes of snoRNAs: the box C/D class, and the box H/ACA class. U3 snoRNA is a member of the box C/D class. The record is from Rfam by way of RNAcentral. Lineage: Eukaryota; Metazoa; Arthropoda; Arachnida; Ixodida; Ixodidae.